Molecule: non-coding RNA, 762 nt
Organism: Lutra lutra (Eurasian river otter)
Lineage: Eukaryota; Metazoa; Chordata; Mammalia; Carnivora; Mustelidae
Source: the annotation of a RefSeq genome assembly
GGGUGGAGCCUAGCAGUGCUGUGGGUCUCAGAAGGCAGAGCUCUGGGCACAUCCACCAUGGCCUGGACCCCUCUCCUGCUCCCUGUCCUCACUCUUUGCACAGGCUCCAUGGCCUCCAGUGUGUUGACUCAGCCUCAUUCGGUGUCAGUGUCCCUGGGACAGACAGCUACCAUCACCUGCUCUGGAGAGAUACUGUCAGAAAGUUAUGCAUAUUGGUACCAGCAGAAGCCAGGCCAACCCCCUGUGCAGGUCAUUUAUAAGGACACUGAGCGUCCCUCUGGGAUCCCAGACCGAUUCUCUGGCUCCAGUUCAGGGACCACACACACCCUGACCAUCAACGGGGCCCAGGCCGAGGAUGAGGCUGACUAUUACUGUCAGUCAUCAGAUAGCAGUGGUGAAGCUCACAGUGACACAGGCAGAUGGGGAAGUGAGACAAAAUCCCCUUCCCUGCCUGUGUCUCAACCUCCUCCAGCCCCAGGAGAACUAUGCACAGAGCAGGGAGCAGACUCUGUGACCUCCAGUGAGCUGACUCAGCCGCUCUUUGUGUCAGUGGCCCUAGGUCAGAUGGCUAAAAUCACCUGCACUGGAGAGGAACUGGAAUAUGGUUAUGUACAUUGGUACCAGCAGAAGCCAGGUCAAGCCCCUUUGAUGGUCUUUUAUGAUGAUAGUCAGCGGCCCUCUGGGAUCCCAGAGCAAAUCUUUGGCUCCAAGUCAGGGAACACGGCCACCCUGACCAUUGGCAGAGCACAGGCUGAGGACUAG